CAGCCGCCACGGUAAUACGUAGGGGGCAAGCGUUGUCCGGAAUUAUUGGGCGUAAAGCGCGCGCAGGCGGUUUUUAAGUCUGGUGUCUAAGUGCGGGGCUCAACCCCGUGACGCACUGGAAACUGGGAGACUUGAGUGCAGAAGAGGAGAGCGGAAUUCCACGUGUAGCGGUGAAAUGCGUAGAGAUGUGGAGGAACACCAGUGGCGAAGGCGGCUCUCUGGACUGUAACUGACGCUGAGGCGCGAAAGCGUGGGGAGCAAACAGGAUUAGAUACCCCGGUAGUCCCUGUCUCUUAUACAC
RNAcentral lists this ribosomal RNA (301 nucleotides) under uncultured bacterium. Its description in RNAcentral is "partial 16S ribosomal RNA". It matches the Rfam family "Bacterial small subunit ribosomal RNA", at positions 509 to 809 of the family's 1533-position model. The record is from RNAcentral.